CUGCUGUCUGUUUAUUUGUCUGUCCUGGUAAGAUUCUCUCUAAAUUGUAGUAUUAUUUAUUCAGUGAUUUGUAGACAAUAAUUGCUAUAAUGUAUGAUAUUCUCUCUCCUCAGUGUUCUUUGUGUAACCUUCACAUCAAAUCCCAUCAAAUAUCCAGCGUAUCGACUCCCCUGGCCGGGAAGUUAGUCACUGGUUUGGUGUUACGUGGAGGCUGUCAGCAAUUAGUGGAAAUUGACAAAUUUAUCAGUGAUUAUUACAAAUGACUGAUAUACAAUGAUAUACAGUUUGUUUUAUUUAUGUAAAAAUUAAGAAUCGAUAAUUUGUCUUUGAAGUUAUUCAUUAACACAUUGUUUCUGUUAUUUUAUCUUAAUCCAUUGUCGGUCGCAAACUAUAAUGGAUUCCAUUACAGUAAGUCUGCUGAUAAUAAAUAUAACAAUAGCUAUCAUCGAGUUCUUAUCUGGAUGCAUACUGAAAGAGUUAAAUAAAAUCUAAAAGCUUGAUUACUGAAUAUUGUGAGAGUUUUGUCAAUAGAGGAGAAUAUCCAUAGUAAAUUGAGCAUUGUAGAAAAUGACUCUUACUAGUAAAAAGUGAAUGUAAUUUGUUGUUAUAAACAGAAAAGUUAAAACUCUCAGAAAUGUUUUGUUUUCUGUAAUCUCAAAUUAAAAUAUAAUGUUUAAGCUUGGAAUAUGCUUCAAUCAUUUGUAUAAUGUGAUUCAU
Pelobates cultripes (western spadefoot toad) is the source of this 717-nucleotide non-coding RNA. The record is from the annotation of a GenBank genome assembly. NCBI's taxonomy places the organism in Eukaryota, Metazoa, Chordata, Amphibia, Anura, Pelobatidae.